AUUGAACGCUGGCGGCAGGCCUAACACAUGCAAGUCGAACGAGUGGCGGACGGGUGAGUAAUGUCUGGGAAACUGCCUGAUGGAGGGGGAUAACUACUGGAAACGGUAGCUAAUACCGCAUACCAUCCGAUUUGCCCAGAUGGGAUUAGCAAGUAGGUGGGGUAAAGGCUCACCUGGGCGACGAUCCCUAGCUGGUCUGGGGGGAUGACCGGCAACACUGGACCUGAGCCCCGGUCCGGACUCCUACGGGGGGCAGCAUUGGGGAAUAUUGCACAAUGAGCGCAAGCCUGCUGCGGCCAUGCCGCGUGUAUGAGGAAGGCCUUCGGGUUGUAAAGUACUUUCAGCGGGGAGACGUUACCCGCAGAAGAAGCACCGGCUAACUCCGUGCCAGCAGCCGCGGUAAUAC
RNAcentral lists this ribosomal RNA (406 nucleotides) under uncultured bacterium. RNAcentral describes it as "partial 16S ribosomal RNA". It matches the Rfam family "Bacterial small subunit ribosomal RNA", at positions 30 to 526 of the family's 1533-position model. The record is from RNAcentral.